Molecule: ribosomal RNA, 719 nt
Filed under: uncultured bacterium
Lineage: Bacteria
Description: bacterial SSU rRNA
Rfam family: Bacterial small subunit ribosomal RNA
Source: RNAcentral
AUGCAAGUCGAGCGGCAAGGGCCUUCGGGCCCCUAGAGCGGCGGACGGGUGAGUAACACGUGGACAAUCUGCCCCCCGGUCCGGGAUAGCCCAGGGAAACCUGGAUUAAUACCGGAUGCGAGCGCGAGCACACAGGUGUUUGCGGGGAAAGGCGCUUCGGCGCCGCCGGGGGAUGAGUCCGCGGCCCAUUAGCUAGACGGCGGGGUAAAGGCCCACCGUGGCGACGAUGGGUAGCCGGCCUGAGAGGGUGAUCGGCCACAUUGGAACUGAGACACGGUCCAGACUCCUACGGGAGGCAGCAGCUAAGAAUCUUCCGCAAUGGGCGAAAGCCUGACGGAGCGACGCCGCGUGAACGAUGAAGGCCGUGAGGUUGUAAAGUUCUUUUCGGGAGGAGGAAUAAGCGGGGCAGGAAAUGGCCUUGCGAUGACGUGAAUCCCGGAAUAAGCCCCGGCUAACUACGUGCCAGCAGCCGCGGUAACACGUAGGGGGCGAGCGUUGUUCGGAAUCAUUGGGCGUAAAGGGCGUGCAGGCGGCCCUGCAAGUCCGGCGUGAAAUGCCCCGGCUCAACCGGGGAGACGCGCUGGAAACUGCGGGGCUGGAGUACAGGAGGGGAUGCCGGAAUUCCAGGUGUAGGGGUGAAAUCUGUAGAUAUCUGGAGGAACACCAAUGGCGAAGGCAGGCAUCUGGCCAUGUACUGACGCUGAGACGCGAAGGUGCGG